This 387-nucleotide ribosomal RNA is filed under the name uncultured Anaerolineaceae bacterium. RNAcentral's name for it is "bacterial SSU rRNA". It matches the Rfam family "Bacterial small subunit ribosomal RNA", at positions 983 to 1382 of the family's 1533-position model. The record is from RNAcentral. Lineage: Bacteria; Bacillati; Chloroflexota; Anaerolineae; Anaerolineales; Anaerolineaceae.
GACAUACAAGUGGUAGAGAAGCGAAAGCGGAUCGACCCUUCGGGAGCUUGUACAGGUGCUGCAUGGCUGUCGUCAGCUCGUGUCGUGAGAUGUUCGGUUAAGUCCGCUAACGAGCGCAACCCUCGCUGUGUGUUACAAGUGUCACACGGAACUGCCGGUCAUAAACCGGAGGAAGGUGGGGAUGACGUCAAGUCAGCAUGGCCUUUAUAUCCUGGGCUACACACACGCUACAAUGGGAAGGGACAAUAGGUUGCGAAGCCGCGAGGCGGAGCCAAUCCAGCAAAACUUCCCUCAGUUCAGAUUGCAGGCUGCAACUCGCCUGCAUGAAGUUGGAGUUGCUAGUAAACGCAGGUCAGCCAUACUGCGUUGAAUACGUUCCCGGGGCUU